Molecule: long non-coding RNA, 1617 nt
Organism: Lotus japonicus
Lineage: Eukaryota; Viridiplantae; Streptophyta; Magnoliopsida; Fabales; Fabaceae
Exons: 2
Source: RefSeq, a predicted model, not a curated record
UUUUGACCCACUAUAGCAAGUUUUUAAAAAAAAAAUCAAAAAACAUAUUUUCUUAAUUAAGCAUUUAUUUUUAAUUAAUUAAAAAAGAAAACAUUUAUCCUUAAUCUUAAUCUGUUCCUCUUCCUCUUUAUCAAAAAAAAAAAAUCUGUUCCUCUUCUCUCUCCCCCUUCAUCACCUCUUCUCUCUUUGUCUUCCCCACAGACCUUUCUCCUUCAUCUCCUCUGUUAUUCUCACCAACAACCCAAAAAAAUCUAGAUCUAAAAAAAAAAAAAAACCACCCAACCGCACCGGCCUUCGCCGUUGGGGCUGCAUCUCUGUGGGUGGCCUUCGCCGUUAAGCUGCAUCUCCCUCUUGAUCUGGAUCUCGUUCAACAGCCGUGGGUCGAGAAAGAAGAUCUGAGGGUGAUAUGGAUUUUGGAGAGAAGAGGCGUGACGGCGGUGGCAGAGAGAAGAAGCCCAUCGCACCCCAUCCCACCCUCACCCCCAACCCCGCCAAGAAACUAAGCCCAAAAACCCAACCCAUAACCAAAGAGAAGAUGAAGGAGCAAAAAUCAGAGGUGCGAGAAGGAGAGCGAUGGAGUGACUGCAGAAGAUUCGUCGCACAGAUCUGGUUCCCAUCAGAUGGAGCGAUAGAGUUAAAAAGCAAAUGUGCAACUAUGCACAAGUUUUUAGAGGUGUAUAAUAAAUUCCUCCGUCUGGGUGGGUUGCCGCUACUUGCUCCAGCAACUUGCAAGAAUAAAAUAUUAUCUUUUUUUUUGAAAACAAGAAUAAAAUAUUAUCAAUUUUCCUGACCAACUUGCAAGAACGAAGAACCUACCCCUUGCUAUUAAAAUAUUAUUAUUAAUUUGCUCGACCAACUUACAAGAACCUACCCCCCUUGCUAUUAAAAUAAUCUUUUUUGCUUGUCUAAAUUUCUUAUAAAUUUUUCUACAAAUCAAAUUUCCUUAAAAAAUCACGAGAAAUAUCAAAUAUUCUCAUGAAGUUUUACCCAGAAAAAAUUUGUAGCAAAAAUUUAUAAGAAAAUUUAUUCAUCAAUUUUUCUAUAGAUUCCUCCUACUGUUUUUCCAAAUUUUUCUACAACUUCUUUUGUGAAUUUUCAUCCAGAUUUUUCAAUAGAUUUUCCUAUGGUCCAACACAAUAUAUUUGCUAUCGAUUUUCCUAUCACUUUCUACCUAUCAAGUAAUAACUACAGAAAAAAUAGUAAUAUAUACCUACAGAAUUUUGUGUGGGUUUAUGUACUAUAAUUUUUUCAAUUUUUCUUAAAAGAUAAAAUUGAUUGCUAAAUUAAAAAAGUUUAAUAGGUAUGCUCACAUUCACACCAAUCAAAAUCAAAUAAAUUGACACAUGAUUAUCAGAGUUUUGAAUAUUAUUUAAAAAUAUUAAAAUGAUUUCACCCAGAAACGUAACUGUCAUCAGACUUGUGGUUCCUGUCCAUUGAUGUCUUUUGCCACCGGACGAUGAUGUUGCAGGCGAGGCCGUGAUUCAGAUGGUGGGAGUGAUGUUAGAUUUAUUUAUAAUUAACUAUCUCUAUUGUUUGUUAUGUGGGUUAACAUUAUCAAUUAACUAAGAUAUAUUUUGUUUUGGUUAUUAAUAUCAAUUAUGUGAAUUAUUAAUUUAA